GAUGAACGCUGUCGGCGUGCCUAAUACAUGCAAGUCGAGCGAACAGAUAAGGAGCUUGCUCCUUUGACGUUAGCGGCGGACGGGUGAGUAACACGUGGGUAACCUACCUAUAAGACUGGGAUAACUUCGGGAAACCGGAGCUAAUACCGGAUAAUAUUUCGAACCGCAUGGUUCGAUAGUGAAAGAUGGUUUUGCUAUCACUUAUAGAUGGACCCGCGCCGUAUUAGCUAGUUGGUAAGGUAACGGCUUACCAAGGCGACGAUACGUAGCCGACCUGAGAGGGUGAUCGGCCACACUGGAACUGAGACACGGUCCAGACUCCUACGGGAGGCAGCAGUAGGGAAUCUUCCGCAAUGGGCGAAAGCCUGACGGAGCAACGCCGCGUGAGUGAUGAAGGUCUUCGGAUCGUAAAACUCUGUUAUUAGGGAAGAACAUACGUGUAAGUAACUGUGCAUGUCUUGACGGUACCUAAUCAGAAAGCCACGGCUAACUACGUGCCAGCAGCCGCGGUAAUACGUAGGUGGCAAGCGUUAUCCGGAAUUAUUGGGCGUAAAGCGCGCGUAGGCGGUUUUUUAAGUCUGAUGUGAAAGCCCACGGCUCAACCGUGGAGGGCCAUUGGAAACUGUAAAACUUGAGUGCAGAAGAGGAAAGUGGAAUUCCAUGUGUAGCGGUGAAAUGCGCAGAGAUAUGGAGGAACACCAGUGGCGAAGGCGACUUUCUGGUCUGUAACUGACGCUGAUGUGCGAAAGCGUGGGGAUCAAACAGGAUUAGAUACCCUGGUAGUCCACGCCGUAAACGAUGAGUGCUAAGUGUUAGGGGGUUUCCGCCCCUUAGUGCUGCAGCUAACGCAUUAAGCACUCCGCCUGGGGAGUACGACCGCAAGGUUGAAACUCAAAGGAAUUGACGGGGACCCGCACAGGCGGUGGAGCAUGUGGUUUAAUUCGAAGCAACGCGAAGAACCUUACCAAAUCUUGACAUCCUUUGACAACUCUAGAGAUAGAGCUUUCCCCUUCGGGGGACAAAGUGACAGGUGGUGCAUGGUUGUCGUCAGCUCGUGUCGUGAGAUGUUGGGUUAAGUCCCGCAACGAGCGCAACCCUUAAGCUUAGUUGCCAUCAUUAAGUUGGGCACUCUAAGUUGACUGCCGGUGACAAACCGGAGGAAGGUGGGGAUGACGUCAAAUCAUCAUGCCCCUUAUGAUUUGGGCUACACACGUGCUACAAUGGACAAUACAAAGGGCAGCGAAACCGCGAGGUCAAGCAAAUCCCAUAAAGUUGUUCUCAGUUCGGAUUGUAGUCUGCAACUCGACUACAUGAAGCUGGAAUCGCUAGUAAUCGUAGAUCAGCAUGCUACGGUGAAUACGUUCCCGGGUCU
RNAcentral lists this ribosomal RNA (1372 nucleotides) under uncultured bacterium. Its description in RNAcentral is "bacterial SSU rRNA". It matches the Rfam family "Bacterial small subunit ribosomal RNA", at positions 28 to 1381 of the family's 1533-position model. The record is from RNAcentral.